GCUGGAUAUGGUGGUGCACACCUGUAGUCCCAGCUACUUGGAGGCUGAGGCAGGAGGAUCCCUUGAGCCCAGGAAGUUGAGGCUGCAGUGAGCUGCAAUCACACCACUGCACUUCAGCCUGGGUGAUAGAGCGAGAGCCUGUCUCUU
Molecule: non-coding RNA, 147 nt
Organism: Homo sapiens (human)
Lineage: Eukaryota; Metazoa; Chordata; Mammalia; Primates; Hominidae
Rfam family: Metazoan signal recognition particle RNA
About the family: The signal recognition particle (SRP) is a universally conserved ribonucleoprotein.
Source: Rfam